RNAcentral lists this long non-coding RNA (417 nucleotides) under Capra hircus (goat). Its description in RNAcentral is "lncRNA (ENSCHIG00000006356.1)". The record is from RNAcentral. Lineage: Eukaryota; Metazoa; Chordata; Mammalia; Artiodactyla; Bovidae.
CUGACAUCCUAGUGGGUGUGGGACGCAGGCAGCCUGGCGCCAGGCACCCCCGGCGAUGAUCCCCAAACCUCACCUUCCAGCUGGCGGCGCUCGCGGCGCUCCAGCUCACAAACUUGUUUGCUCGCCUUACGAGUAUGGUGUUUCCCUGGGGCUCCGUGGAGAGCGUUCCCCUUCCUUCCUUGGGCUGGUCCAGGCUUGGCUGGAAUCCAGUAAUUUUUCACCAACAAGAAGAGUGGGAUAUCUAACCUCAAGGGCACCAAAGCGAAGGCAGUUCCUGGAACUCUGAAAUUACCUUCUGUGUGUGGACAGGAGAGAAAUCCAGUAACUCAAAAUUUAAAAUAAAAUCUAAAAAUUUCAUUUUUUUACUGGUUAGUUUUUGGAAUUGAUCAAAGUGCCAGAUGCUAUCACUUAUUGUCC